AUUGAACGCUGGCGGCAGGCCUAACACAUGCAAGUCGAGCGGAUGAAGAGAGCUUGCUCUCUGAUUCAGCGGCGGACGGGUGAGUAAUGCCUAGGAAUCUGCCUGGUAGUGGGGGACAACGUUUCGAAAGGGAUGCUAAUACCGCAUACGUCCUACGGGAGAAAGCAGGGGACCUUCGGGCCUUGCGCUAUCAGAUGAGCCUAGGUCGGAUUAGCUAGUUGGUGAGGUAAUGGCUCACCA
This 240-nucleotide ribosomal RNA is filed under the name Pseudomonas sp. RNAcentral describes it as "partial 16S ribosomal RNA". It matches the Rfam family "Bacterial small subunit ribosomal RNA", at positions 30 to 270 of the family's 1533-position model. Lineage: Bacteria; Pseudomonadati; Pseudomonadota; Gammaproteobacteria; Pseudomonadales; Pseudomonadaceae. The record is from RNAcentral.